GGGAGGCAAAAACAUUCAUACUGGAGAGGAUUUGAAGGCAUGAACAAGGAUUGACACGAAAAUUUACAAGAUUUCUUCAGGAUUUCUUCAAGUUUUGAUAACCCGGUGAUGUAUUUUAUUCAAAACUUGAUAGAUUUUGUUAUUUUUAUCAUGAUAGGCUAGAUUUCUGUAAUUAGGUGAUCGAUGAACCAUGUAAUUAUUAUUAAAC
This 208-nucleotide long non-coding RNA is filed under the name Olea europaea (common olive). RNAcentral describes it as "long non-coding RNA (OEUR_LNC009176)". The record is from RNAcentral. Lineage: Eukaryota; Viridiplantae; Streptophyta; Magnoliopsida; Lamiales; Oleaceae.